AGCCGAUCGGUAAAACAAGCGUACCCGUUUGAACGCCGCCCGCGCGCCGCUUUAGCUACUGUAGCCGCAGCCUCUUAGCACAACAUGCUAGCCCUCUCUAAUAAAACACCGGCGAGAACGCUUCCUGCUCAACAGAACACCGUUAACACGUUUGUGUACUGACGUCUUAAACACACGGAACCGAGUUUUAGAGAAAUUAAGAUGUGCAGCUUUUUUUUUUAAAGUCGGGAUUCGCUCAGAAGUCGUGACACCGAGUGCUAGCCUACGACGGGCUCGUCAAGGCCACGGCGGAGUUCGCUAGUUUGGGUCAGUGGAUCUUCUCAGACACGUUCAUUUUCCUGCUGAUGGCUCUAGAGUUGUCUGCUUCACCGGGUCGAGGCCCACCGGCUGUGUCCUGGGUGUGUUUGUCUGCCUACCUCCACAGUGGAACUUCUACGCGGUCCGCAGAUAAAAGACGGCAGUGUAGGCAGACGGCGAGUCAGACACAUCAGGGUCACUCAUCUGUAACAGUAACCAAGCAGUGUAUCACACCAGCCCGCUACACCAUAAGCCUGCACCAUGCUGCGAGAUAUACCUGAGGACUGUCAUAUUGUCCACAAGCAGCUCUGCACUGGGACCCACAGAUGGCUCAUUCUGAGCCGACACAGACUGGUCUAUCAUUGCCUUGUCAGAGAGAUGGGCUGUGCUACAGCUCCAGUUUUUGCACCGUAGAUCUGUUCAAUCAUGUAGAGAGCUGAAAAAAAUGCAUAGCAUGGCUAAUCACAUGGCCUGUGAAUAUGUGGGAUGAUUUAUUCUGUGACAUAUAGCAUUACGCUUGGCAUUUCCCCUCCAAAUGCAUUUGCUAUUUCUAGAUAACAGCUAUCAGAAGAAAGAAGAUGAUGUUUAUAUGCUGAACUGAGAGUACAGUAGGAAGAUGCACAGUAAUGAUGCAGUUAGGAAAAACUUCAUUUCUGUGGCUGUUUCAUGGUGGAAUGAGUUGCUGAGCUGAUUUUAUUGCUGAACUGUCUUUUCCAUUUGAGGCCUGACAAAGUCUUUU
This 1036-nucleotide long non-coding RNA is filed under the name Betta splendens (Siamese fighting fish). Its description in RNAcentral is "lncRNA (ENSBSLG00000006337.1)". Lineage: Eukaryota; Metazoa; Chordata; Actinopteri; Anabantiformes; Osphronemidae. The record is from RNAcentral.